AUGAGUACAUAGGAAGACUCCUACAUCUAGUGGAUGACAAUAAAACCCACUGGCAUGCUUUAAAAACAUAAACAUAUAUGAUUGUCAUCAUGUUAAAGGUGACACAGUCAAACAAAUGCAUCUUGCAGCUGCAGCAGCAAGGGGUGAAGAAUGAAGAUGGAGAAUGGCAAAGUGUGUUCCCAGAGCAGUUUGUUAGAUCCUGGCAGGUGCAAGGGAAGCUCUGCCUGCCACACAGAUAAGAGCUGGACCUUACUGAUAAUGGGGAUCCUUGAGUCUAUGCUGCCCAACCAGCUCACCCGGGAACUGCAAAGAGAAAUGGAAAGGAGGUGGAGACAAAUUUGGGUCUUCAUGGAGACAGAUCUGAGCCCUCUCCCUCAGGAGUGAAAAGGAGGAGAUUCCUGUUACCAAACAGCAGGGUCUGGUCCCAUUUGAACACAACAUUUAUAGCAGUUAU
Passer domesticus (house sparrow) is the source of this 454-nucleotide long non-coding RNA. RefSeq lists it as uncharacterized. Lineage: Eukaryota; Metazoa; Chordata; Aves; Passeriformes; Passeridae. The transcript has 3 exons. The record is from RefSeq and is a predicted model, not a curated record.